Rhagoletis zephyria (snowberry fruit fly) is the source of this 686-nucleotide long non-coding RNA. RefSeq lists it as uncharacterized. NCBI's taxonomy places the organism in Eukaryota, Metazoa, Arthropoda, Insecta, Diptera, Tephritidae. The record is from RefSeq and is a predicted model, not a curated record.
UCUGUAAUCCCUAAAGUAACAAAUGAGGAAAUAAAGCAUAGCAAAAGGUAUACUUGGUCAAUUGGUCUUGUUUUUUAUUUUCAUUGUCCACGAGUAUUGAUUAAGAAUAUUAUUCAUAUCCGACCAACUUCCAGCCGGGACAUCAUUUAAUCGCAUACGAAACACAUACUGUACAUAAAACAUGCAUAAAUGUAUUUUAAAAAGCAUAUUAUCUGAUGCGAAUUUUCGGUAUUUUCUGGUGAUAUAUCUAUAGAAGUAUAAAUCACCCCUCAAAAAUAUAUUCCUGGGUGCGCUUCUGACUUGAAGGUAUAUCGAUCUGAGAAUUUGAGGCAUUACGUCUUACAAAGCCCAGAACAAAGUCUUUUAUCUCAUCAACAUGAUUUAGAUCAUGUUCGGGACGGGAUGAAAUGUGGGCCGGGAAUUCCUCUUGAAUUCCGCGGGAACGAGGGUGGAGGAGGUGCCGAAUCCCUGAAGUCCUUCGAGGGUUGAAUUUAACACAUUUAAAUUCGCUCAAUAAAAUUAAAUGAAACACUUCACUGUCACUAGUAUAUGUGUAUAUAUAUAUGUAAGAGCCUAACGGCCACUUUAUUAUAUGUCUAUAUAAAAAAAUUCUGUAAUAAAAAUAUGUAAAAUGUAUUAACAAUUAAAGGACCUUACUUGAGUGAUCGGUACAAAAAUUUACAAAA